This 434-nucleotide ribosomal RNA is filed under the name uncultured Lachnospiraceae bacterium. Its description in RNAcentral is "bacterial SSU rRNA". It matches the Rfam family "Bacterial small subunit ribosomal RNA", at positions 341 to 792 of the family's 1533-position model. The record is from RNAcentral. Lineage: Bacteria; Bacillati; Bacillota; Clostridia; Lachnospirales; Lachnospiraceae.
ACGGAAGGCAGCAGUGGGGAAUAUUGCACAAUGGGGGAAACCCUGAUGCAGCGACGCCGCGUGAGUGAAGAAGUAUUUCGGUAUGUAAAGCUCUAUCAGCAGGGAAGAAAAUGACGGUACCUGACUAAGAAGCCCCGGCUAACUACGUGCCAGCAGCCGCGGUAAUACGUAGGGGGCAAGCGUUAUCCGGAUUUACUGGGUGUAAAGGGAGCGUAGACGGUUCUGCAAGUCUGAUGUGAAAGGCAGGGGCUCAACUCCUGGACUGCAUUGGAAACUGUAGAACUAGAGUGCCGGAGAGGUAAGCGGAAUUCCUAGUGUAGCGGUGAAAUGCGUAGAUAUUAGGAGGAACACCAGUGGCGAAGGCGGCUUGCUGGACGGUAACUGACGUUGAGGCUCGAAAGCGUGGGGAGCAAACAGGAUUAGAUACCCUGGUA